This 327-nucleotide ribosomal RNA is filed under the name uncultured eukaryote. RNAcentral describes it as "partial 18S ribosomal RNA". It matches the Rfam family "Eukaryotic small subunit ribosomal RNA", at positions 1470 to 1796 of the family's 1831-position model. The record is from RNAcentral.
CCCUUAGAUGUUCUGGGCCGCACGCGCGCUACACUGACGAAUGCAACGAGCUUAUAACCUUGGCCGAAAGGUCUGGGUAAUCUCCAAAUUUCGUCGUGAUGGGGAUAGAUUAUUGCAAUUAUUAAUCUUCAACGAGGAAUGCCUAGUAAGCGCAAGUCAUCAGCUUGCGUUGAUUACGUCCCUGCCCUUUGUACACACCGCCCGUCGCUCCUACCGAUUGAAUGGUCCGGUGAAGCGUUCGGACCGUGGCCUUUGGACGGUUCGCCGUCUGUUGGCUGCGGGAAGUUCGUUAAACCUUAUCAUUUAGCGGAAGGAGAAGUCGUANCA